Molecule: long non-coding RNA, 2858 nt
Organism: Ctenopharyngodon idella (grass carp)
Lineage: Eukaryota; Metazoa; Chordata; Actinopteri; Cypriniformes; Xenocyprididae
Exons: 2
Source: RefSeq, a predicted model, not a curated record
ACGGGUGUGGAACGACAUGAGGGUGAGUAAUUAAUGACAGAAUUUUCAUUUUUGCGUGAAAUAAAACUUUUUUUUUUUAAAUCUUUGAUCAUUGAUGGGCGAACAUAGACAUUUCAAAAGUGAGGAUGUAUGAAUGCAUUAGUGGAAAAAAACAUUUACACACAUGCAAAAAGAAGGACAAAGGAAAAAGGUUACGAGAACAUCUAAUUGUUUCUUCAUGCAAAUGCACAGCGUGUUGAGGUCAUUUGGGCCUUUAUGAAACAAUGUUUUGAAUACACAGUCAGCCUCCUCCAGUUCCUUCUACUUCCCCUUGCAGUUCAAUCGGUAAGCUGUGUAUGUAUUAUAACACAAAUAAAUUCCCACUUGAUGGGAUUAUAUGCAUUAAUCUCCACAGAAAUGCACAAAAACAACAUAUCUUUCUUUUUACCCUCCAUUUGUGUCAUUUACAAUGGAAAUAUGAUCAGUUUGGGUCAUGAGUCAAAUGGCUUUCUGUAGGAAAUAUGACACGUAAUGUGAAAUUUUAUAAACAUGUACAUGCUGGAAAACUUCAAAACAGGUUUCGGUUUAUGCUGUCGACAUUUGAUGUGAGGGGACUGAUUGAAUACAUAUAUUUAUAGUUCUUCAACAUUUCGGAAAUUCUGUGCAAGGGCAACAUGGGUAAUUGCUGUUUUUGUGGAAAAAGAAGCUGGAAAGUAGAUUUACUGACGAGUUUUACCCGUUACACUAGAGGCCAGUGUGAAGUACCGUCAGCAAAGCACUUUCUAAAAUCAUUCAACAGCUGUUUUCAUGUUAUUUUCUGUUAUUAAUUAACAUUUUUGUGUCAUGAUAAGCUGUUUUCACAAUAGUUUGAUCAUGACAUGCUGGCCAUCUUGCUUGUAGCAAUUUUGAGAACGAUUUGUGUCCUCGCACAUCAACAAGAAACUGAGAGCUGUGGAGUUAUGACCAAAAACUCUCAGUUCUCUCUUACUUUCUCACUUAUUCCAAGAGUCUGGCAGAUGUUUGACCCCAGGAGAAAGGAGUGAGACGGACUCUGCCCAAUCUCCAGAGACGCUCAGAGAGAGAAAUACUCUGAGCCCUACCCUCCUCUGCAAGGCGUUAGCCAAUGUGGUUAGUGAACCAAGAACUCAAAGAAACAGCACUGACAGUUCAGUCUGGGUGGAGUCUGUCCUGUCAUUUACAACACAGCAUUGUCAUAUCACUAUACCCAUAUUUAGCAGAAGUGCUCAGUGCUAUAUAAAAUGGAGAAAAUCAAGUGCAGUAGAAUGCCAUUGACAUUUUUUUACUGUGUCUAGUUUUACUAUGCUGAACUCAUAUUUGGAGUACUGCUCAAGUCAUCAAUGAUGACAUUCAGGAGCAGUGUUGGGGAAAGUUACUACUUUUAAAACUAAUGCAUUAUAAUAUUGCGUUACUCCCUAAAAAAGUAACUAAUUGUGUUACUUAGUUACUUUUUAUGAAAAGUAAUGCAUUACAUUAUUUUUGCGUUACUUUUUCUCAUCUGGGCUUGCUUGUUUGUUUUUUUAAUAACAACAAAAAAGCUCUAUUUUUGGCUAAUGUAAAGGUCCUUUCACACCAAAAGUGAAAUGAAUAAACCUCAGGCUAAGGGAAAUGCAAAUUUAUGCCUGUACAGUAGAGGGUGCGCAGAAUAGAAUAGAAUAGGAUUUUGUUGUAAAUUGAAAAAGUAUGGUUGUUACUUUACUAGUUACUUGAAAAAGUAAUCUGAUUACAUAACUCAAGUUACUUGUAAUGCGUUACCCCCAACACUGUUCAGGAAUGUAGCUGACUAAAUGUAAUAUUUUAAGAUUCAACCAUUGGAAAAUCCCAUAAUGGUCGACCACUAAUCUGAAUAUUGUCUAUGGUAUUUGUUCAAGUGUUAUGUGAGUUUAUCGCACUUUAUCACUGAACCGAAUUACGCAAAUCAUGUGUAGGCCUAAGCCAGCAGAGGAACAGACGAUCCUAAUGGCUACAAGUUUUGGCAGAAAAAGGAACUUGCGCUAUAGAUUGCAGAAAGAAAUCAAAACUAGAAGUGGUGAGUUACAUUUAUCCAUCCUUUGCACACUAUACUGAACCUAGAAUUUAGAGUCUUUCAUCAUAAACCCCAGUCAGUUCAGUUAAAACUGAAAGUGUAACUGUCAGAUGGACUGUAAUUGCACACUUAGUCAUCUAUAGUUGCACACUUAAAUAUGUGAAAAUGAGGGAAAAAAUUAUCAUGGGAACUGUCACCACAAUUUAUGACACAGCAAGUCACCGUCUUUCCAGUGACUCACAGCAGAAAAGCGCGUCUCAGUAAGCCCCUUGUGUCAUUCAAGAUAUUCAGCUGUUUUGUAAUGGUAUUUUCAUAUUAAGAAGUCGACAAUAACGGCCUACAACUGCGUGUAGAUAUUCUAUUAUCUUUAGUAACUAGAAUGACAGUGGUUGGUUAGUAAAAUAUGCAAAAGCAAAUAUGACUUCCCUAAUAAAAGCUGCUAUAUGGUUCUGAAAUAGAUAAAUAUCCCAACUUCUGCAUGGCUCUUUUGGAUUGCUUAAAAUGAGGAUGUUUCUCAGUUCCUCAUUCCCUCUGGAAAACCCAACUGCCUUUUUUUUUUGCUUUGUUUUUUUUUUUUUUUCAAAUUUGCAUAAUUUCCCAUUCAUUUUCUAUGUUAUGUUUCAGCAUGCACAACCAAACUUUCACAGAACAGUCUUUCAGAAAAGUUUCUAUAUUGUACACUAAAAGCAUUGUUAUAACAACUUUGCUUUCAUUCAUUUAAUUUGUCGCAGUAAUUAGUCAUUUCUACUCUGUUUUAUGUGUUUUCAGAGUGUCAACUCAACUGUAAUUUAAUUGAAAGUGGUCAAAAGUGCCAUGAAAUAAACUUAUCACUUCA